UGGCAUUGUAGGUUUAAGAGC
Molecule: microRNA, 21 nt
Filed under: Physcomitrium patens
Lineage: Eukaryota; Viridiplantae; Streptophyta; Bryopsida; Funariales; Funariaceae
Description: ppt-miR1028c-3p
Source: miRBase by way of RNAcentral